GAUGAAUAACGUAGUGAAAUGCGAUACGUAAUGUGAAUUGCAGAAUUCAGUGAAUCAUCGAGUCUUUGAACGCACAUUGCGCCCCCUGGUAUUCCGGGGGGCAUGCCUGUCCGAGCGUCAUUGCUGCCCUCAAGCACGGCUUGUGUGUUGGGCCUCCGCCCCCCGGCUCCCGGGGGGCGGGCCCGAAAGGCAGCGGCGGCACCGCGUCCGGUCCUCGAGCGUAUGGGGCUUCGUCACCCGCUCCGUAGGCCCGGCCGGCGCCCGCCGGCGACCCCCCUCAAUCUUUCCAGGUUGACCUCGGAUCAGGUAGGGAUACCCGCUGAACUUAAGCAUAUCAAUAAGCGGAGGA
Molecule: unclassified non-coding RNA, 349 nt
Filed under: soil metagenome
Description: partial contains 5.8S ribosomal RNA, internal transcribed spacer 2, and large subunit ribosomal RNA
Rfam family: 5.8S ribosomal RNA (bases 1-120)
Source: RNAcentral